AAUCACAGAAAGUGCCCUGCAUCAUUGCAGCAAAUAUAAAAACAAUCUUCUUGCCAGACAAUAAACAGUUAAUUUCAGCACCAUUUAUUGCCGGUUCUAAUUUUGAAUGAGAAAGAUUUUGCCAUUUAACCAAGUAAGAAAUAUAAGUACCCGCUGUUUUUGUUUCCCAUAUUAGAUUUUCAAUAUGAAAAUCAAAACAUGUUGAGUCAUCACAGUGUCCAAUCAAGCAAAAAUAAUUGGCAACUGUGGAACAUACCACAAGUAAUCUGACAGAA
This 275-nucleotide unclassified non-coding RNA is filed under the name Hevea brasiliensis (rubber tree). The record is from RNAcentral. Lineage: Eukaryota; Viridiplantae; Streptophyta; Magnoliopsida; Malpighiales; Euphorbiaceae.